CUUGACAGUGUUGAAGGUCCUCAGUGUGGUAUUAAUAUGGUAGUAACAGUAUAGUACUUGACAGUGUUGAAGGUCCUCAGUGUGGUAUUAAUAUGGUAGUAACAGUAUAGUACUUGACAGUGUUGAAGGUCCUCAGUGUGGUAUUAAUAUGGUAGUAACAGUAUAGUACUUGACAGUGUUGAAGGUCCUCAGUGUGGUAUUAAUAUGGUAGUAACAGUUUAGUACUUGACAGUGUUGAAGGUCCUCAGUGUGGUAUUAAUAUGGUAGUAACAGUAUAGUACUUGACAGUGUUGAAGGUCCUCAGUGUGGUAUUAAUAUGGUAGUAACAGUAUAGUACUUGACAGUGUUGAAGGUCCUCAGUGUGGUAUUAAUAUGGUAGUAACAGUUUAGUACUUGACAGUGUUGAAGGUCCUCAGUGUGGUAUUAAUAUGGUA
Oncorhynchus keta (chum salmon) is the source of this 434-nucleotide long non-coding RNA. RefSeq lists it as uncharacterized. The record is from RefSeq and is a predicted model, not a curated record. The transcript has 4 exons. Lineage: Eukaryota; Metazoa; Chordata; Actinopteri; Salmoniformes; Salmonidae.